Molecule: ribosomal RNA, 1372 nt
Filed under: uncultured bacterium
Lineage: Bacteria
Description: bacterial SSU rRNA
Rfam family: Bacterial small subunit ribosomal RNA
Source: RNAcentral
GAUGAACGCUGGCGGCGUGCCUAAUACAUGCAAGUCGAGCGAACGGACGAGAAGCUUGCUUCUCUGAUGUUAGCGGCGGACGGGUGAGUAACACGUGGAUAACCUACCUAUAAGACUGGGAUAACUUCGGGAAACCGGAGCUAAUACCGGAUAAUAUUUUGAACCGCAUGGUUCAAAAGUGAAAGACGGUCUUGCUGUCACUUAUAGAUGGAUCCGCGCUGCAUUAGCUAGUUGGUAAGGUAACGGCUUACCAAGGCAACGAUGCAUAGCCGACCUGAGAGGGUGAUCGGCCAUACUGGAACUGAGACACGGUCCAGACUCCUACGGGAGGCAGCAGUAGGGAAUCUUCCGCAAUGGGCGAAAGCCUGACGGAGCAACGCCGCGUGAGUGAUGAAGGUCUUCGGAUCGUAAAACUCUGUUAUCAGGGAAGAACAUAUGUGUAAGUAACUGUGCACAUCUUGACGGUACCUAAUCAGAAAGCCACGGCUAACUACGUGCCAGCAGCCGCGGUAAUACGUAGGUGGCAAGCGUUAUCCGGAAUUAUUGGGCGUAAAGCGCGCGUAGGCGGUUUUUUAAGUCUGAUGUGAAAGCCCACGGCUCAACCGUGGAGGGUCAUUGGAAACUGGAAAACUUGAGUGCAGAAGAGGAAAGUGGAAUUCCAUGUGUAGCGGUGAAAUGCGCAGAGAUAUGGAGGAACACCAGUGGCGAAGGCGACUUUCUGGUCUGUAACUGACGCUGAUGUGCGAAAGCGUGGGGAUCAAACAGGAUUAGAUACCCUGGUAGUCCACGCCGUAAACGAUGAGUGCUAAGUGUUAGGGGGUUUCCGCCCCUUAGUGCUGCAGCUAACGCAUUAAGCACUCCGCCUGGGGAGUACGACCGCAAGGUUGAAACUCAAAGGAAUUGACGGGGACCCGCACAAGCGGUGGAGCAUGUGGUUUAAUUCGAAGCAACGCGAAGAACCUUACCAAAUCUUGACAUCCUUUGACAACUCUAGAGAUAGAGCUUUCCCCUUCGGGGGACAAAGUGACAGGUGGUGCAUGGUUGUCGUCAGCUCGUGUCGUGAGAUGUUGGGUUAAGUCCCGCAACGAGCGCAACCCUUAAGCUUAGUUGCCAUCAUUAAGUUGGGCACUCUAAGUUGACUGCCGGUGACAAACCGGAGGAAGGUGGGGAUGACGUCAAAUCAUCAUGCCCCUUAUGAUUUGGGCUACACACGUGCUACAAUGGACAAUACAAAGGGCAGCGAAACCGCGAGGUCAAGCAAAUCCCAUAAAGUUGUUCUCAGUUCGGAUUGUAGUCUGCAACUCGACUACAUGAAGCUGGAAUCGCUAGUAAUCGUAGAUCAGCAUGCUACGGUGAAUACGUUCCCGGGUCU